RNAcentral lists this ribosomal RNA (468 nucleotides) under uncultured bacterium. Its description in RNAcentral is "partial 16S ribosomal RNA". It matches the Rfam family "Bacterial small subunit ribosomal RNA", at positions 28 to 507 of the family's 1533-position model. The record is from RNAcentral.
GACGAACGCUGGCGGCGUGCUUAACACAUGCCAGUCGAACGGAAAGGCCCUGCUUUUGUGGGGUGCUCGAGUGGCGAACGGGUGAGUAACACGUGAGUAACCUGCCCUUGACUUUGGGAUAACUUCAGGAAACUGGGGCUAAUACCGGAUAGGAGCUCCUGCUGCAUGGUGGGGGUUGGAAAGUUUCGGCGGUUGGGGAUGGACUCGCGGCUUAUCAGCUUGUUGGUGGGGUAGUGGCUUACCAAGGCUUUGACGGGUAGCCGGCCUGGGAGGGUGACCGGCCACAUUGGGACUGAGAUACGGCCCAGACGCCUACGGGAGGCAGCAGUGGGGAAUAUUGCACAAUGGGCGGAAGCCUGAUGCAGCAACGCCGCGUGCGGGAUGACGGCCUUCGGGUUGUAAACCGCUUUCGCCUGUGACGAAGCGUGAGUGACGGUAAUGGGUAAAGAAGCACCGGCUAACUACGUG